UUUGGGAGAUGGGGGUGCACAGUGCUCCCGGGGGGAGUAGAGGGGGCCCCCCUGAAGUCCCCCAGACGAGGCCCGUGAACACAGGCUGCUUCUGGGUAGUCACGAGGAAAGCGACGAUUCCCAGCAGCUGCACCUGCCCAGCCCGGGCGAGGCUGCAGGACUUUCGCCGAGAAGCAGCUUCACUCAAGACCAGCCUGCUUUCCGGAAGUCUCGGGCAGAGGCCGGGGACGCGGGCCUUUCUGAAACCCAAGGCAGUCCCGGGCCCUGGCCUUCUGAUGGGGGGAGGAGGAGCUGCACCGCCCGGCCCGGCAGAGGGACGCGGGGGUAAAACCCCGAGGAUGGAAAUAGCUCUGCACCUUGCCUGGGAUUGCUUUAAAAAAAUGCCCAGAGGGUAAAAACAGCCUGUUGGGGAGAACGGGACGCCACGGCUGCCUGUCCCAGCUACCCAUGGGCGCGUAGCGGGGGCUCUCGGAGGACGUCUGUCCAACAACCAAAUGGAUGAAUGCGUGAGUGGGCGAGCAUUGGAUUCCGCAGCAACUGGAAUGUUCCGGAACUGACCAUCACUGUCUUCCUGCUCAUGCCGCCCCGCAUUCUCACGUUGUUUGAUCUGUUCACCAGGGGGAGAACUAGUUGCCACAGAAGUCUCCAGGUGAC
RNAcentral lists this long non-coding RNA (654 nucleotides) under Microcebus murinus (gray mouse lemur). RNAcentral's name for it is "lncRNA (ENSMICG00000048494.1)". The record is from RNAcentral. Lineage: Eukaryota; Metazoa; Chordata; Mammalia; Primates; Cheirogaleidae.